RNAcentral lists this long non-coding RNA (945 nucleotides) under Fragaria vesca (wild strawberry). RNAcentral describes it as "long non-coding RNA (FVES_LNC004960)". The record is from RNAcentral. Lineage: Eukaryota; Viridiplantae; Streptophyta; Magnoliopsida; Rosales; Rosaceae.
UUUGAGAUUGAAGCAAAUCAAGGUAAAAGAUGUAAAGUCUACAUUUAACAUAAGACACAACAACUUUUUUCCAUAAGAAAUGUCUACCAUUAACAUAAGAGAAAUCAAAGAAAAAUAGACUUUCUGGAAAUCUAAAUUGUUCUUGAGAUUGAACCAAACCAAGGUAAAAGAUGCAAUGUCUACAUUUAACAUAAGACACAACUAAUUUUUCAUUAGAAACGUCUCCCAUUAACAUAAGAGAAAUCAAAGAAAAGUAGACUUUCUGGAAAUCUAAAUUGUUCUUGAGAUUGAACCAACCCAAGGUAAAAGAUGCACAGUCUAUAUUUAACAUAAGACACAUCUACUAUUUUCAUUAGAAACAUCUACCAUUAACAUAAGAGAAAUCAAAGAAAAGUAGACUUUCUGGAUAAUUAAAUUGUUCUUGAGAUCGAAGCAAAUUAACCAAGGUAAAAAUGCAAACUCUAGCCGACGAUGGCUCGUCGGCUAAGAUCUUAGCCGAUGAAUUAAGCUAACAGGCCGACAAAAAUUUUUCGUCGGCUAAAGUGCUUGUCCUGGUAGUGCAGGUUAUAUUUGUCACACCCCGAAUUUUGGAUAAAUAAAAAAAAAAUUCCAAAUUCAAGGCAUGAUAACCAAAAAGCAUAAAAAUCAAUACAACAAUUUAUUUUUACAACUUGUGGAAAAUAAUUUGAACCAAAUAAAACCUCCCUCAAACUCACUGCAAACUAGAAAGUAAACAAAAUGAACUAUGCCUAUCUGCCGCAGCCUCAACUCCACUAAACCUGAGCUGCAAAAACAACCUCUACACCAUGAAUUGGUGCACCGGGUUGUAAACAACAAACUCGGUAAGCUUUAAAAGCUCGUAUGAGUAAAUCUACAAAAAUGACUCAAUCCAACAACACAUGAAUAAAACUGGGAGUUCAUGCAUUAAAAUGAAUUCAGGAAAAC